UGAUUUCGGAAUCAGUGUUUCUU
RNAcentral lists this small nuclear RNA (23 nucleotides) under Arabidopsis thaliana (thale cress). RNAcentral's name for it is "snRNA_02652". The record is from RNAcentral. Lineage: Eukaryota; Viridiplantae; Streptophyta; Magnoliopsida; Brassicales; Brassicaceae.